RNAcentral lists this ribosomal RNA (598 nucleotides) under uncultured bacterium. RNAcentral describes it as "bacterial SSU rRNA". It matches the Rfam family "Bacterial small subunit ribosomal RNA", at positions 331 to 929 of the family's 1533-position model. The record is from RNAcentral.
CCAGACUCCUACGGGAGGCAGCAGUGAGGAAUAUUGGUCAAUGGGCGAGAGCCUGAACCAGCCAAGUCGCGUGAAGGACGACGGUUCUAUGGAUUGUAAACUUCUUUUGUAGAGGAAUAACGGUAGCUACGUGUAGCUGAGAUGCAUGUACUCUACGAAUAAGUAUCGGCUAACUCCGUGCCAGCAGCCGCGGUAAUACGGAGGAUACGAGCGUUAUCCGGAAUUAUUGGGUUUAAAGGGUGCGUAGGUGGCGUAUUAAGUCAGUGGUGAAAAGCUGCAGCUCAACUGUAGUCUUGCCGUUGAAACUGAUAUGCUAGAGAGGAGACGAGGUAUGCGGAAUGUGUGGUGUAGCGGUGAAAUGCAUAGAUACCACACAGAACGCCGAUUGCGAAGGCAGCGUACCAGGCUCCGUCUGACACUGAAGCACGAAAGCGUGGGGAUCAAACAGGAUUAGAUACCCUGGUAGUCCACGCAGUAAACGAUGAAUACUAGAUUUUUGCGAUAUACUGUAAGAGUCUAAGCGAAAGCGAUAAGUAUUCCACCUGGGGAGUACGCCGGCAACGGUGAAACUCAAAGGAAUUGACGGGGGCCGCACAAG